RNAcentral lists this long non-coding RNA (1167 nucleotides) under Oreochromis niloticus (Nile tilapia). RNAcentral describes it as "lncRNA (ENSONIG00000025312.2)". Lineage: Eukaryota; Metazoa; Chordata; Actinopteri; Cichliformes; Cichlidae. The record is from RNAcentral.
AUGAAUGAUAAACAAACACGUGUGAUGGGUUUAAAUCUAAAAAGCAGAAAAUUCAAUUCAAGGUUUAAAAGUUGUGUGUGUGUCUGUGUGUGUGUGUCUGCGUGUGUCUGUGUCUGUGUGUGUCUGUGUGUGUGUGUCUGUGUGUGUGUGUGUGUGUCUGUGUGUGUGUGUGUCUGUGUGUGUGUGUCUGUGUGUGUGUGUCUCUGUGUGUGUGUGUGUGUGUGUGUGUCUGCGUGUGUCUGUGUCUGUGUGUGUCUGUGUGUGUGUGUCUGCGUGUGUCUGUGUCUGUGUGUGUCUGUGUGUGUGUGUCUGUGUGUGUGUGUCUGCGUGUGUCUGUGUCUGUGUGUGUCUGUGUGUGUGUGUGUGUGUCUGUGUGUGUGUGUGUGUGUGUGUGUGUGUGUGUGUGUCUGUGUGUGUGUGUCUGCGUGUGUCUGUGUCUGUGUGUGUCUGUGUGUGUGUGUCUGUGUGUGUGUGUGUGUGUCUGUGUGUGUGUGUGUGUGUGUGUGUGUCUGUGUGUGUGUGUCUGCGUGUGUCUGUGUCUGUGUGUCUGUGUGUGUGUGUCUGCGUGUGUCUGUGUGUCUGUGUGUGUGUGUCUGUGUGUGUGUGUCUGUCUGUGUGUGUCUGUGUGUGUGUGUCUGUGUGUGUGUCUGUGUGUGUCUGUGUCUGUGUGUGUGUGUCUGUGUGUGUGUGUGUGUCUGUGUGUGUGUGUCUGUGUGUGUCUGUGUGUGUGUGUGUGUGUGUGUCUGUGUGUGUCUGUGUCUGUGUGUGUGUGUCUGUGUGUGUCUGUGUGUGUGUGUCUGUGUGUGUCUGUGUCUGUGUGUGUCUGUGUCUGUGUGUGUGUGUGUGUCUGUGUGUGUCUGUGUCUGUGUGUGUCUGUGUGUGUCUGUGUCUGUGUGUGUCUGUGUCUGUGUGUGUGUCUGUGUGUGUCUGUGUCUGUGUGUGUCUGUGUGUGUCUGUGUCUGUGUGUGUGUGUCUGUGUGUGUCUGUGUGUGUGUGUGUCUGUGUCUGUGUGUGUCUGUGUCUGUGUGUCAGGAGGUCAUGUUUACGACACGCCAUGACUCAGGAAAACGUUCCUGCAGUCUCACAUCCUCCUCUGCAGCCGGCUCAGUCACGUCGCUCACGAGGAGUCUGAGAAGCCUCCUCCCGACUCCUCCCGACUCCUCCUGA